Molecule: long non-coding RNA, 643 nt
Filed under: Ananas comosus (pineapple)
Lineage: Eukaryota; Viridiplantae; Streptophyta; Magnoliopsida; Poales; Bromeliaceae
Description: long non-coding RNA (ACOM_LNC000446)
Source: RNAcentral
AUCCCAAUAUUACCAUUCAAUCCUAAACUUUUUAUCUAAAAAUAUCAAACUUGGUUUUUUUUUCUUUUUUGUACAUAAUGCGAUUUAGUUUUGUUCAUAAAAAAAAUCUCAUAUUUUUAUAAAGGGGCAAUUGCUUAUAUAUUUCUGAAAAGUUCCCGACUUUUCGAUUUACCCAUCUUAGAAGGUUAAUAUUGGAAAUAUCCCUCCUACGUUCCAACUUAUUUUUAAUAUACCCCUAGAGUUAAAAUCUGUUAAGUAACUCUGUUAUCUCUGUAAAAUUACUACUUUGCCCUUUCAAAUAUACCCUUCCACUAUCAUUGUCUUUCUUAUUUGUCCUUAAAGUCAGGAGCACAAAAAAUAUUUUGACUUUUGUUCUUUUCCAAUAUACCUUUUUAUCGUCACCAACCUUUCUUAUUUGCCCUUAAGUUAAGAGCAAAAUUGGUAUUUUAAUUUUUUAAACUGUGGUAGAUAUUUAACUCACGUUUAACCCAGAUUAACUUAACAGGAGAUAACUGCGGGGGUAUUAUGCAAUAACGGUGAAACAUAUGAGCGGUAUUUUAGAAAGAAAAAAAAAAGUAGGAGUAAAUCGGAUAGUUCCAAACGUAUGAGGGGUAUAUAGGCAAUUGUCCCUUUUAUAAAACUA